AGCCUACGGGACGCAGCAGUGGGGAAUAUUGCACAAUGGGGGAAACCCUGAUGCAGCAACGCCGCGUGAGUGAAGAAGUAUUUCGGUAUGUAAAGCUCUAUCAGCAGGGAAGAAGAAAGACGGUACCUGACUAAGAAGCCCCGGCUAACUACGUGCCAGCAGCCGCGGUAAUACGUAGGGGGCAAGCGUUAUCCGGAUUUACUGGGUGUAAAGGGAGCGUAGACGGCGAUGCAAGUCUGAAGUGAAAGGCGGGGGCCCAACCCCCGGACUGCUUUGGAAACUGUAUGGCUGGAGUGCAGGAGAGG
This 305-nucleotide ribosomal RNA is filed under the name uncultured bacterium. Its description in RNAcentral is "bacterial SSU rRNA". It matches the Rfam family "Bacterial small subunit ribosomal RNA", at positions 335 to 657 of the family's 1533-position model. The record is from RNAcentral.